This 465-nucleotide ribosomal RNA is filed under the name Vreelandella stevensii. RNAcentral's name for it is "partial 16S ribosomal RNA". It matches the Rfam family "Bacterial small subunit ribosomal RNA", at positions 338 to 795 of the family's 1533-position model. The record is from RNAcentral. Lineage: Bacteria; Pseudomonadati; Pseudomonadota; Gammaproteobacteria; Oceanospirillales; Halomonadaceae.
CCUACGGGGGGCUGCAGUGGGGAAUAUUGGACAAUGGGCGAAAGCCUGAUCCAGCCAUGCCGCGUGUGUGAAGAAGGCCUUCGGGUUGUAAAGCACUUUCAGUGGGGAAGAAAGCCUUGGGGCUAAUACCCUCGAGGAAGGACAUCACCCACAGAAGAAGCACCGGCUAACUCCGUGCCAGCAGCCGCGGUAAUACGGAGGGUGCGAGCGUUAAUCGGAAUUACUGGGCGUAAAGCGCGCGUAGGCGGUCUGAUAAGCCGGUUGUGAAAGCCCCGGGCUCAACCUGGGAACGGCAUCCGGAACUGUCAGGCUAGAGUGCAGGAGAGGAAGGUAGAAUUCCCGGGGUAGCGGUGAAAUGCGUAGAGAUCGGGAGGAAUACCAGUGGCGAAGGCGGCCUUCUGGACUGACACUGACGCUGAGGUGCGAAAGCGUGGGUAGCAAACAGGAUUAGAUACCCUGGUAGUC